RNAcentral lists this ribosomal RNA (502 nucleotides) under uncultured Glomeromycotina. RNAcentral's name for it is "partial small subunit ribosomal RNA". It matches the Rfam family "Eukaryotic small subunit ribosomal RNA", at positions 591 to 1092 of the family's 1831-position model. The record is from RNAcentral. Lineage: Eukaryota; Fungi; Glomeromycota.
CCAAUAGCGUAUAUUAAAGUUGUUGCAGUUAAAAAGCUCGUAGUUGAAUUUCGGGGUUCAUACGUUGGUCGGGCUUUUUGGUCUGUACUGGCGUAAUGGAUUCCUACCUUCUGAAUAACCGGCAUGUCAUUAAUUUGGUGCGCCGGGGAAGCAGGACUGUUACCUUGAAAAAAUUAGAGUGCUUAAAGCAGGCUAUUGCCUGAAUACAUUAGCAUGGAAUAAUGAAAUAGGACGGCAUGGUUCUAUUUUGUUGGUUUCUAGGAUCACCGUAAUGAUUAAUAGGGAUAGUUGGGGGCAUUAGUAUUCAAUUGUCAGGGGUGAAAUUCUUGGAUUUAUUGAAGACUAACUUCUGCGAAAGCAUUUGCCAAGGAUGUUUUCAUUAAUCAAGAACGAAAGUUAGGGGAUCGAAGACGAUCAGAUACCGUCGUAGUCUUAACCAUAAACUAUGCCGACUAGGGAUCGGACGAUGUUAAUUUUUUAAUGACUCGUUCGGCGCCUUACG